AAGUUGCAAAAUAGAUUUCAUGCAAAUUGCACACUGAGCUUUUGGUAUAGGUGUCCCGGGGCUAAUAAUCUACGAAGAAAGGAGGGGGAAGGACAGAUCAACCAAAGAUCCUACUCCUCUUAGAAAGGCGAAUGAAUCAUUUUUCCUAUUUUUCAUUUUGUUUUAAGGCCCCAUCGACGAAAGAACAAAUUGGAAAAUAGUAAAUUUGAUGAAUAUUCAUUUUAUACGGUCUCAUCUUUAUCACACUCCUUUGUCUUCCAAGUAAAAAAUUGCUAUUAUUAUUUCUACUUUUCGAUGCGAGCUCACGAUAUAAUUAAAAAUCAAUAAAAUAAAAAGACACAACUAAAAGAAAUUUAUGCUAAGGAGUUAGAAAUCAAUGUAUGCACCCCAAACACAAAUGAACAAUCAAUGCAAAUUACUAUCGAAGCAUAUGUGCCUAAUCUUUUAUGACCAGAUAUAAUGCUAUGCAGUAGUAAAUAGUAACAAGGAAAUACUAUCCAUUGUACAAAGUAAAUGUGUCACUUUGUACCGUUAAUUAGAAGUCAAAUAUCAUGAAAAGAGAAAAAUCAAAUAACAAUUUCUUUUGUCAACGCUUAUGAUACAUAUAUAUAUUUGGAUUGUUUAUGUUUAGGGCUUUAGUUUUUCUCUUUGAAUUUGUAUUAUAGAGAUGUUGAUAUAUGACCUUUAUUAGGUAAACAAUUCGAUAAUCAAAAAUAUCAAAUACCAAAGAUAUUAAUAUCUUGAGCCAAAUCCCAACCCGAAGCCCUUGACAAGCUAGGAGAGUAAAUGAGAAUUAAGGAGUUUUCACAAAUAGUGGCAGUUUGGUGCAUAAUUACUAUACAUAACCAUACUUCUAAUAAUUACUAAAUAUAAUAACUCUUUAUAAAAUAAAUAACACACGAUACAGUGUAUUGGUGAUUUGUCAAGCAUGUAUCUAUAAUACAUGCAUAGUGAUUCAGGAGAAAAUCAAGCAAUAAUCUUUUAAAAUAACAAAAUCCAGUAAAACAUCCAUAUCUUCAGUGCAAAAAUAGAAAA
RNAcentral lists this long non-coding RNA (1035 nucleotides) under Solanum tuberosum (potato). RNAcentral describes it as "long non-coding RNA (STUB_LNC006800)". The record is from RNAcentral. Lineage: Eukaryota; Viridiplantae; Streptophyta; Magnoliopsida; Solanales; Solanaceae.